GUCACGAUAGCUCAAGUGGUAGAGCAUCGACAUUCGGAGCCGAAGGUCGUGGGUUCGAAUCCCACUCGUGACA
RNAcentral lists this transfer RNA (73 nucleotides) under Cimex lectularius (bed bug). RNAcentral's name for it is "tRNA-Arg". It matches the Rfam family "tRNA". From Rfam's summary of the family: Transfer RNA (tRNA) molecules are approximately 80 nucleotides in length. Their secondary structure includes four short double-helical elements and three loops (D, anti-codon, and T loops). Lineage: Eukaryota; Metazoa; Arthropoda; Insecta; Hemiptera; Cimicidae. The record is from RNAcentral.